GGGGGUGGGGCGGGCGGCGGAGGGAUAAAGUGUUAAAGAUGACUAUGGUAUAAAGAAGCAUUGAUACAUAUGAAUAUACUUUUUUUUUAUCUGAAUAUGUAUGCACUGUUGGUUUUCUUAUGUUAGGGUGGAUGGUGCCUUUUGGAAGCCAACUAGGACCAAUCACUUGCAACAUAGGAUAAAGGCUAAGCAUGUGCCUACAGUUCAGUGCAUGAUGCAUAGAUUUAAAGACCAUGGUCCAAACCAAGUAUCAUCAAACAAAAGGAAAAUAGCCCAUAAGAGGAUACCU
RNAcentral lists this unclassified non-coding RNA (289 nucleotides) under Hevea brasiliensis (rubber tree). Lineage: Eukaryota; Viridiplantae; Streptophyta; Magnoliopsida; Malpighiales; Euphorbiaceae. The record is from RNAcentral.